RNAcentral lists this ribosomal RNA (279 nucleotides) under Metamycoplasma hominis. RNAcentral's name for it is "Mycoplasma hominis partial 16S ribosomal RNA". It matches the Rfam family "Bacterial small subunit ribosomal RNA", at positions 205 to 481 of the family's 1533-position model. The record is from RNAcentral. Lineage: Bacteria; Bacillati; Mycoplasmatota; Mycoplasmoidales; Metamycoplasmataceae.
AGGCGCCACUAAAAGAUGAGGGUGCGGAACAUUAGUUAGUUGGUGAGGUAAUGGCCCACCAAGACUAUGAUGUUUAGCCGGGUCGAGAGACUGAACGGCCACAUUGGGACUGAGAUACGGCCCAAACUCCUACGGGAGGCAGCAGUAGGGAAUAUUCCACAAUGAGCGAAAGCUUGAUGGAGCGACACAGCGUGCACGAUGAAGGUCUUCGGAUUGUAAAGUGCUGUUAUAAGGGAAGAACAUUUGCAAUAGGAAAUGAUUGCAGACUGACGGUACCCA